Gastrolobium bilobum is the source of this 2418-nucleotide RNA transcript. It is a transcript of the gene named probable protein phosphatase 2C 35, with no coding region annotated. The record is from RefSeq and is a predicted model, not a curated record. NCBI's taxonomy places the organism in Eukaryota, Viridiplantae, Streptophyta, Magnoliopsida, Fabales, Fabaceae. The transcript is spliced from 3 exons.
AAAUAUGCAACGCACACAUGGACAUGGGAAGGGAAUAGAGUAGAUUCUGCGUCCCUCUCUUUCGAAACCUCUUCUUGUGAACUUGGAAUUUGGACUCUUCCUUUUUCAUCAGGGUUUCCUCCGAUGCUCCUCUAUUCUCUGCACCCAACCAAAAGUACACUUUGUUUCUUUCAUUUUCGAGAACCCCCAGUACACGUUCUCCAUGUGAAAGGGCUUUUCCCUUUUCUCAAAGGCCAAAAUGUCUCUGCCUUUUGCUUCUUGGUGGGGUUGCUCUAGGGUUCUGGUUUUCUCACCCGUUUAGGUUCAAAUCAUCCUCUUCUUUGGUUCUUUUUUUUUUUUUCCACAAUUGGACCAAAACCCUUUUGUUUACACCAAUAGCUGAUGACAAUUCCCAGCUCAAAAUCCUAAUUUUCUUCUGAUUUUAUCUCUAGGGUUUGUGCAUGUUCCUCAAAAUGAUGAAGGAUCAAGUUUGAAGCGACAAUGCGGAGUUUUUCCUGAAGCAUCCACCAUGCAGUUCCUAUCUCUUUGAGCUGCGGGGUUGCUCUUAACCUUUAGUUGGUGCUUUCAGUUCCUAUCUCUUUGAAACAUGGGUUGUGUCCAUGGCAAGUAUUGCUGCGGCAAAUUUUCUUCAUCAGAGUGUGGCCAUCGGAAGAACGCACGCGCUCAGAGAUCACUUGAGUAUGUUCCUGUUCCUUCCCACAACUUCACUUUGGAAUACUCUUUUCUCACACGACGGGGAUACUACCCUGACUCGCCGGAUAAAGAAAACCAAGAUUGUUUCUGCAUUAGGACACAAAUCCAAGGUAACCCCAGUAUCCAUUUAUUUGGUGUCUAUGAUGGGCACGGUCAAUUUGGUGGCCAGUGUUCGAACUUUGUUAAGGAUAGGUUGGUAGAAAAAUUAUCAAAUGACCCUGCAUUGUUGGAGGACCCUGUUCAAUCUUACACUUCUGCAUUCUUGACUACAAAUCAAGAAUUGCAUGCUAGUCAAAUUGAUGAUUCUAUGAGUGGAACCACCGCAAUUACGGUGCUUGUUAUUGGAGACACCCUUUAUGUUGCUAAUGUUGGUGAUUCGAGAGCUGUGCUAGCUGUUAAGGAUGGGAAUCGCAUUAUUGCUGAGGACUUGUCCUCUGAUCAGACACCAUAUCGGAGAGAUGAAUAUGAGAGAGUGAAACUUUGUGGGGCAAGGGUGUUGAGUGUUGAUCAAGUGGAAGGGCUCAAGGAUCCGGAUAUUCAGAAUUGGGGUGAUGAAGAGAGUCGGGGUUGUGAUCCUCCGAGAUUGUGGGUUCGAAAUGGGAUGUAUCCUGGAACUGCAUUUACCAGGAGUAUAGGGGAUGAUUUGGCGGAGACUAUUGGUGUCAUUGCUAUUCCAGAGGUGUCAAAAGUUCAGCUUACACCUAAUCAUCUUUUCUUUAUUGUUGCAAGUGAUGGCGUGUUUGAAUUCAUGUCAAGCCAAAUGGUUGUUGAUAUGGCAGCCAGCUAUACAGAUCCUCGUGAUGCAUGUGCGGCCAUUGCUGGAGAGUCACAUAAACUAUGGUUGGAACAUGAGAACCGAACAGAUGAUAUAACAAUUAUCAUUGUUCAGAUCAAAGGCUUCUCUAAUGUAUGGAUUCUUGAAUAUAUUCCUUUGGUGCCACUUGCUUUUUAUGUUUUCUACAUUCACACUUGUUUAAAGAUUUUAAAUUUGUAGUAUUAAAUUAUCUUCUUAUCCUGUGAAAAUAACAACGAAGUCUUAUCCCAUCAAGUGGGGUCAAUUGUCAAUAACAUUGGUUCAUAUUAAUCAUUUGAUCCUGAUCCGUGCAAUUACUUCUUUAUCCCCUUUUUGCUCUACAGUGAUGGAACAGAGAGGCUUUAUGGAAGCUUCACCAAGUCUCUUUGUAGUUUCUCCUAAGUGGCUGCUCAAGGUUGCUAGUUUGAAGUGCAUUAUCUUGGCAGCAAAAGGACCUUGUUCAGAAUGUAGAAAUCACAGUUGGUAUAAUUCAAGUUACAUGUUGUUUAACCAUACAGAACCACCUUACUUAGGAGAACACUUAAGCUCGCCUUCUUGGGACGCGCUAUUGCACCUCCACUCUAUUUUAACUUUGGAAGGAAAUCAAUCACGAACUUGAAAUGAAAGGGAUUUGUGAAAGGAGAUUGGGUUGUGACUAUCAUUUGUAUUGGGUUGUGGAAGAAACUCAUAAAGAUGGUGGUCACUGGUCCCCUUGGAAGGCAGAAAUAUGCUACUUAGCAAUUAGAUGCAUUGUCACAAUUUUCCUUUGGAUGCUGGAUCCAGCGUAUGUAUCAGCAACAUAUCUGGAUUAAUUAUUGCAUUUCAAGAUUAAUUUCAUGUUCUUACUAUAAAUUUAUAGACUCUUUUUCAAUAACCUAGUUGAUUGGAGUUGUAGUUUCAUUUCAUCUGUUACGGCUUUGUUAAAUGUGAGG